CCUACGGGUGGCAGCAGUGGGGAAUAUUGCACAAUGGGGGAAACCCUGAUGCAGCGACGCCGCGUGAGUGAAGAAGUAUUUCGGUAUGUAAAGCUCUAUCAGCAGGGAAGAAAAUGACGGUACCUGACUAAGAAGCCCCGGCUAACUACGUGCCAGCAGCCGCGGUAAUACGUAGGGGGCAAGCGUUAUCCGGAUAUACUGGGUGGAAAGGGAGCGGGGGCGGCAAGGUAAGCCAGAAGGGGAGGCCCGCGGGUCAACUGCGGGACUGCUUUUGGAACUAGCUAGCUAAGUUGCAGGAGAGGUAAGUGGAAUUCCUAGUGGAGGGGUGAAAUGGGGAGAUAUUAGGAGGAACAACAGUGGGGGAGGCGGGUUACUGGACUGUAAAUG
RNAcentral lists this ribosomal RNA (387 nucleotides) under uncultured bacterium. RNAcentral describes it as "partial 16S ribosomal RNA". It matches the Rfam family "Bacterial small subunit ribosomal RNA", at positions 338 to 742 of the family's 1533-position model. The record is from RNAcentral.